UACGUAGGGAGCAAGCGUUAUCCGGAUUUACUGGGCGUAAAGGGAGCGUAGGCGGCCUGCCAAGUCUGAUGUGAAAUACCGGGGCUCAACCCCGGGGCUGCAUUGGAAACUGGCAGGCUGGAGUGCCGGAGAGGCAGGCGGAAUUCCUAGUGUAGCGGUGAAAUGCGUAGAUAUCAGGAGGAACACCAGUGGCGAAGGCGGCUGUCUGGUCUGCAACUGACGCUGAGGCUCGAAAGCAUGGGUAGCGAACAGG
This 253-nucleotide ribosomal RNA is filed under the name uncultured Lachnospiraceae bacterium. Its description in RNAcentral is "partial 16S ribosomal RNA". It matches the Rfam family "Bacterial small subunit ribosomal RNA", at positions 524 to 776 of the family's 1533-position model. The record is from RNAcentral. Lineage: Bacteria; Bacillati; Bacillota; Clostridia; Lachnospirales; Lachnospiraceae.